CUUUCCUACGCUAAAAACCACUGAGUGGAGUAUUUAGUACACAGGAAGUCGGCCAGAGAAACAUUUCUCAUAUUUGAAGGCCGGAAAGAGGGACAUUUCUGACACCGGAAGUCAGUGAGAGGACUCUUUCCCACACAGGAAGUCAGCUAGAGAGCCGUCUCCCCUCUCUGGAGCCGAGAGAGGCCGGUUUCCCCCACCAUAGCAGGGCUGGGAGAAAGGGAUGGGGAGAGUCCCUCCUGCCACUGACCCAGGAUGGAUAAAAGUACCCCUUUCAUAGAAGGAAGAAAAUGGGAACAAAGGUGCUGCUGAUCAUCUGAGGUUGCCUGCAUGGCAGUGAAGAACAUGGACCUUUGGGUAGCCCACCUGGGAGGAAUUUUCCAGAGAUCACUGUCUGAUGACCCUGUCUUGGAAUUGGAGCCAUGCAAGUUACACUGACCACGUUUGGGUUGGGAUAUUGAGGAGGUUAUGGUUAAAAGCAUACGAUGGGAGAUCAUAUUGUACUUGCGAGUGAGACCCGGCUGGAGGAAUGUUUUAAUUCUUCGGAAAUACCAAGUGGUCUCUACAGAACACUGAAGAUUCUGCUCUCAGGGUGUUGAUUGACGUCUGGAAGGCAGAGACUCGUGGAUUAGCAAGCAUGUGUAAGAAAGUGCUCUGGAUGCCACAGGGUGGUAAUUUGUGCAUGGAAAAUGGCUGGGGUGAAGAGGAGACUAGGCUUUAUCUUGUCAGGUGGUCUCUGUGGUUCCAGUACCCAUGAGGGAGCUGAGUCUGAAGGACCUUGGAGCUUUGCAGAUAUAAAGAAAAAGCUGAUUUAAGCUUCCCCAGUUUUCCCUGCCCCCUUCAUGAAAGAAUUACAGCAUAUAAUAAGAAAAAUCUGGAGAAACACUUAUUUUUAUGG
RNAcentral lists this long non-coding RNA (895 nucleotides) under Homo sapiens (human). Its description in RNAcentral is "non-protein coding lnc-CRYBA4-52:61". Lineage: Eukaryota; Metazoa; Chordata; Mammalia; Primates; Hominidae. The record is from RNAcentral.